This 771-nucleotide ribosomal RNA is filed under the name uncultured bacterium. RNAcentral's name for it is "bacterial SSU rRNA". It matches the Rfam family "Bacterial small subunit ribosomal RNA", at positions 1 to 762 of the family's 1533-position model. The record is from RNAcentral.
UGAGUUUGAUCCUGGCUCAGGACGAACGCUGGCGGCGUGCCUAAUACAUGCAAGUCGAGCGAAUCACAGGGAGCUUGCUCCCGGUGGUUAGCGGCGGACGGGUGAGUAACACGUGGGCAACCUGCCUGUAAGACUGGGAUAACACCGGGAAACCGGUGCUAAUACCGGAUAAUCCUUUCCCUCACAUGAGGGAAAGCUGAAAGUCGGUUUUUAGCUGACACUUACAGAUGGGCCCGCGGCGCAUUAGCUAGUUGGUGAGGUAACGGCUCACCAAGGCGACGAUGCGUAGCCGACCUGAGAGGGUGAUCGGCCACACUGGGACUGAGACACGGCCCAGACUCCUACGGGAGGCAGCAGUAGGGAAUCUUCCACAAUGGACGAAAGUCUGAUGGAGCAACGCCGCGUGAGCGAUGAAGGCCUUCGGGUCGUAAAGCUCUGUUGUUAGGGAAGAACAAGUAUCGGAGUAACUGCCGGUACCUUGACGGUACCUAACCAGAAAGCCACGGCUAACUACGUGCCAGCAGCCGCGGUAAUACGUAGGUGGCAAGCGUUGUCCGGAAUUAUUGGGCGUAAAGCGCGCGCAGGCGGUCCUUUAAGUCUGAUGUGAAAGCCCACGGCUCAACCGUGGAGGGUCAUUGGAAACUGGGGGACUUGAGUGCAGAAGAGGAAAGCGGAAUUCCACGUGUAGCGGUGAAAUGCGUAGAGAUGUGGAGGAACACCAGUGGCGAAGGCGGCUUUCUGGUCUGUAAACUACGCUAGGCGCAAAGGCUG